Molecule: small RNA, 368 nt
Filed under: Vigna angularis var. angularis
Lineage: Eukaryota; Viridiplantae; Streptophyta; Magnoliopsida; Fabales; Fabaceae
Description: Non-protein coding transcript
Source: RNAcentral
UUAAAAUAUUAAUGAAUAGUAAAUUUUUUUAACUAUAAAUAGCCAUGGGAGGGAAGGGUAUUUUGCACCAAGAAAAGAGGAAUCAAGUGAGAGCUUGAGAAAUAGAGAAGAAAGAGCUAGGGAGAAAUUUUUAGUUGCAAGAAGAGUAGAGGUUCUGAAGGGUUUCGGGGAAAUAAAUUCAGAUCAAGAGGAAUCUGGAAUAGAGAUGAAGGAAUGUCGCCUCACAUAAGUGCCAAGGAAAGGGAGGAGUAGAAGAACUAUAAUUAGAAUCUUUUUACAUGUAUAGACUUAUAUUAACUAGGAAAUUUUAAAGGGUGAGAUUACGGAAUGUUACCGUAAAUGUAAUGUUAAUUAUCUGAAAAUUUGGG